GUUGUGAACAGACCUAUUGAGAAAUCCAUGUGGUGAUAUAACUGAGGACUCUGAUCACCAGCCAGCGAAGACCUGAGACCUGGAUUGCUGCUAAAUUUCUCCCUGCUGAUUUGUCUGGGCUGAUGAGGCACUUUCUGCACCGGGGCUGUCCAGUAGAAACUUUUGCCCUCGUUUCAAUGCAGAGGAAAGUCCGACACCUAAAGAUGAGGGGAUUUCUCCCAAACCACACAGCUGGAAAACGAAGACUGUGAUGCCAUCCCCUCUCUGACACCCUUAUGAUGUAACGUCCUGAAGACUGCAAGGCUCUUGUGCAGGAAGCAAGCACCCCAGGCCUCACAGGGUUGAAUAUCAUUGAGCACUGUGAUGACUCUCCCGAAGCCCAGGGGUGUCUGGGACAUGGUGUCAUUCGCUCUAAUGAGACUUGCUGGAAAACCUACGGGGACAAGACAUCUUUAUGUGUUGGCCAUUGUGGAGAAUUUCCAGAGAACUGGAUACCAGGACGAUGGGGGCUGCUUCUCACAAUUUAUUUAUUUUUUUCUCCAAGAGCUGGUGGGAGAAUUUAUCUCUGGGUAUUAUCCAAUCUGUAUUCUGACCCCUUAUUCACUCAACUAAUAGCGGCUUAAGGAAUCAUCUUUUCCAGGGAUCAAAACUUUACAGUAAGAAUAGCUAGCUUUCUUUGACUACUAUUUCCCAAGAGCUCUGUUAAGAGUUUUACAUGCAUUUUCACAUUUAACUCUACAAGGAAGAUACAUUUUUUUUUUCCUUUAAGACAAAUGAGGCAUGGAGAGCUAACCCAAGAUCACAAAGUUACUGUGUCCUAGAGCUAAGAAAUGAACCCAGCUUUGUCUGCUGUCUGAUAGAUUGCCAGAAGGAUUAAAUAAGAUAAUGCAUGGAAAGCGCUUGCCCAAGUAUUUGAUACAGAGUAGGCACUCACUAAAUGUUAGCUAUUAUUAUUGCAUACUCUGUCACCCUCUUUUUUUGGACAAUGGGAUGUGGCAGAGAGGGCAGUUAAUGAUGCAAGCCUGUUGGUGCCCUCAAGUACCCACUGACUGAUUCCUUUGCCUGCCACUCACCCUACUGGGCACCAACCCAGGGCUCUAAGGGAAGCCAUGACUUAUUCCAGCCAAUGGGAAUUAGCUGUCACUUGACUUAACGUUUUGUAACAGGGCUCGACCCAUGCCAGUUAUGACUCCCGGGGGUCAUGUGUCAUCAGGUCAUAACUCUUGAAGAUCUUUUCUUUCCUGAGGACCUGGAUUCAGCAGCCCCUGGGAAAUAACCCAAAUGCAUUGCAACUGUUGUGUGCUAUAAAAAAACAUGUUGGAGAUGGAGUUGGUCCAGGAGGGAUAAGGAGAAAGAACGCAGUGUGGUUGAGGAUCAAGGAUCUUGGCUUAGCAAAUCAAUUAAUUAACCUUGUCUCUUGAGAAAUGCUAACCUUUGUGACAUUGGCCUUCAUGGGACCUUGGUAUGGCACUGCCAUGGCCCAGGGAUUGGGGGUCAGACAGUUUAGAGACUUUGAUAAAUAGGAUUUAAUUCAGUUUGUAAAACUAGCCUAUGGGGUCUCUGUUAUUUCAUAAAUGAGGAAACUGAGGCUCGUGGUGUCCAUUUUGAGAUGGUUUGAGCCUACUUUCCCCCUCUUCUCUCUCCUAAGGUGGGAGAUGUCUAAUAACCAUUUCUAAUCUUCUAUGUCCAAACAGAACCUUUGAAUUCUGUUCCCAAAACCUCCUGAAGCUUGCUCUUCACCCAACCUCCACAUUUUAUUGAUGGGCACUCUUAUGUAUCCAGUUCCUUAAGCCAAAACCUAGGGAUCUUCCACAAAUCCCCUCAGGCCCCACAGCUCCUCUUCAUUGAGACCUCUUACCUCGAUCUUGAAAACAUUUUCCAAAUCCUUGUGCUUUGCUCCAAAUAAACCAAAACCAUCCUAGUCAACGCCCCAUCCUCAACCCACCUUGACCACUCUGUUACCUUCCUAACUGGUUUUCAUCGUCCUUUGCCCCCCUCCAGUCUACUCUCUACACAGUUACCGAGUAGAUGUUUUCCCCAAUGAAAACCCGCUCCUUCUCUGGCCUGCUUAACAUCCUCAAAUACGACACUUAAAGUAAAACCCGCAUUCCUUACACCAAGCCUAUGGCAUUCCUCCAGAUCUGGUCCCUGAGUCCGUUCUGGAUAUCAUCUCCUACUUCAAGCCACACUGGGUUCUUUAUGUUCCUCUAACACCCCAACUUUUCAUCAAUGUCGGCGGCUUUGCUCUAGCUAGUCCCUCCCACUGGCUCCCUUUGGCCUCAGAUCUUUACACUGGGGCUCCUUCUUAUGGUUCCUUCUCAGCCCAAGCAUAACUUUCUCAUGGCUAACCCUGUCCACCCUACUUAGGGUAAAUCCUCCCCCUGGAUCGCUCUCUUUCAUGUCACUCUACUUCUAUUUGCCCAAGUGUGUGUCUCUGUCUGGUAUUAUCUUACUGAUUUGGUUUUGCAUUUAUUGCCCAUCUCUUCCAACUAGAAAGAAUGUGAAAUCCACGGAGCAAGAAUUGUGGCUCUUGGUGUUCACUGCCAUGUCUACAUUGCUGAGCCAAUGGUCUGAAACUGAAUGUUUGUUGAUCGAAUAAAUGACUACCAUUCUAAGGCUACGAUGGUUGUUUUGGGUCAGAACUAAUUCUAGAGGGGUUUCAUUAGGGAGAGAAUUCAAAUUGGUGUAUAAAUGUGGUCCCCAAUAUUGUUCCAAAUGCAAGUAACAUUUACAAAUAUUUUUAUUACUUUGGGUGAAUUUUGGA
Long non-coding RNA from Eptesicus fuscus (big brown bat), 2764 nucleotides. RefSeq lists it as uncharacterized. Lineage: Eukaryota; Metazoa; Chordata; Mammalia; Chiroptera; Vespertilionidae. The record is from RefSeq and is a predicted model, not a curated record. The transcript has 4 exons.